UAACGCGUGAAGUAGACCGCCUGGGGAGUACGGUCGCAAGAUUAAAACUCAAAGGAAUUGACGGGGACCCGCACAAGCGGUGGAUGAUGUGGAUUAAUUCGAUGCAACGCGAAAAACCUUACCUACCCUUGACAUGGCAGGAAUCCUGGAGAGAUCUGGGAGUGCUCGAAAGAGAACCUGCACACAGGUGCUGCAUGGCUGUCGUCAGCUCGUGUCGUGAGAUGUUGGGUUAAGUCCCGCAACGAGCGCAACCCUUGUCAUUAGUUGCUACGCAAGAGCACUCUAAUGAGACUGCCGGUGACAAACCGGAGGAAGGUGGGGAUGACGUCAAGUCCUCAUGGCCCUUAUGGGUAGGGCUUCACACGUCAUACAAUGGUACAUACAGAGGGCCGCCAACCCGCGAGGGGGAGCUAAUCCCAGAAAGUGUAUCGUAGUCCGGAUCGUAGUCUGCAACUCGACUACGUGAAGUUGGAAUCGCUAGUAAUCGCGGAUCAGCAUGUCGCGGUGAAUACGUUCCCGGGUCUUGCACACACCGCCCGUC
Molecule: ribosomal RNA, 541 nt
Filed under: uncultured bacterium
Lineage: Bacteria
Description: bacterial SSU rRNA
Rfam family: Bacterial small subunit ribosomal RNA
Source: RNAcentral